AAACAUGCUUGGCUGGGGGACUCAUGUGAUCACGAGGUGUUGGUCCCCAUGGUGAGGCCCUACAAGGCUGACCCAUGUGGCAGCUUCGAAUUGAAGUUGGCCAACAGCUUAAUUUUUGCAUGUGGGGCUGCGCUUGCGUUAUUCAAG
Teladorsagia circumcincta is the source of this 147-nucleotide non-coding RNA. The record is from the annotation of a GenBank genome assembly. NCBI's taxonomy places the organism in Eukaryota, Metazoa, Nematoda, Chromadorea, Rhabditida, Trichostrongylidae.